AUCGGAUUCAGAACGCUUCCUUUUCAGAUUAUCCUCAUCUUCUUGUUGCUUCAAUUGUUUUGCUUUUUGCCGAAACGACUUUUCCUUUUCUUGACGUCGCUUAACAACCUGAAUGUUUUCAAUAGCAAAUUCGACAAUUAGACGACGAGGACGAUCAUUGUAAUCGAUAUUUGGUAGCUGCGGCUCAGGAAUUUUAUGCUUUCGCGCCCACUCAAUUUCUGCAUCUAUUAUUUUUUUAACAGUAAUUUCCCGUCCAUUCAGCCAGCGUAAAGCCAUAAGUGCAUAUUUAUGAGAAAUAAAUUGCAUGAAACCAAAACCCUUUGAUCUUCCAGCACCAGCCUUCUCAGUUUCUACCUUAGCUUGCUUAAGUACACCACCACUUUUCCCCCUUUUAAGUCUGUGUCCCUUGUCAAGAUUCUCUUCCUCUUCAGUUAUGUUAGCUCGUAAUCCUUUCGAAACGUCGUCCAUAAAUCCACGAAUAGCUUGUCUACCCAGCAUUGCUAAAAUUUUAGGAUCAAUGUGUCUAGAAAUAUUACGAAUAGAGAGACGAUUAAGAGAAAGAUGUAAGGUGGGAUUUUUCUCCAAUAAUUUUUUACGUUGGGCGAUAGACUGACUUCUUAACGUUUUGUCAGUCUCAGAUAAACUGUUAAACAAAGGAUGAUCGGCAGCAAUUUUACCUUCAUUGAGAAGAAAUAGAUGACGCCUAUCAACACCUUUCCCCAUUUUUUGCUUUCUCUCUUGUAAACUUUUUUGAUUAAUGUCCGAAGCCUCUUUUCGUGUAACAGCGCUCGUAACUUUCAACAAACGACCAUGUAGAAGGAAACGAGAACUUACGCUGUCAGUAUCAAUUCCCUCAUCUACUAAAACUGAUGGAAGAAAACGUUUUUCAGCCUCAGUAGGCUCUUGUGUAGGUAACUGAGAAGCCAUUUCAAGACAAUUUUGACAAUCCUUUUCAUAACGGAACUUAAUAAAACCCCUUCCCAAUGAACGAUCAGUAGCAGGAUCCUUAACUAGCUUAGCGUAUGCAAGCGGCCCAAAUUGACGAAAGUGAUUAUACAAUUCUUGUUCCGUACACUCAAACAAAAGGUUGCGAACAAACACAGUGUCCUCCAAUCCUUCAUUGUCCCGAAUUUCAUGAUUUAUAGAAUUUUUGUCAGAAGAUGAAUCACCAGAAUCCUCUACAUCGUCGACAUUGCUACCCUCUUCUUCACUUUCCCCCGCCAAUUCUUUACCCUCCGAAUGCCCAUCCACUUCCUCCUCAGAUUCUGAGUCCGCAGAAGCAUCUUCAGUUACAAUUGAGUGUCCUUCAUCAGAUACAAAUUCUUUGUUUUCCUCCUCAGAAGAUGCAUCCUUUAAUGUAGUAGCUUCGAAUGCAUCUUUACUAACUGCCCAGUCAACGGCAAUAGGACGACCAUCAAUUUCUGUCCCAUUUAGAGAAUUCAUGGCUUCCUCAGCAGCUUUACGAUCUUUCAUCCAGACAAAGGCGAAGCCGCACAUACGACCUCCACCCUUUGUAGGGAUUUUAAUUUCACGAACUUUACCAAACUUUGAAAAAUGAGGCUCCAAAUGUUGUGGCUUUUUAAUUGACCAAGGAAGAUUUCGGAUAAUUAGACGAGGUCGAUUAUCCUGCCUAAUUGUCUUCUUAACAGCCUUAUUCUGGUCUGUGUCUACCUCCGAUCGUUUACGGGGAGUAGCGAAAUCCAAUCGAAGAAUUCUUCCAUGUAAUUUUUUAUUUUUCAACUCCUUAGCUGCUCUUUGAGCAUCUUCAAGCAUUGAAAAUGUUACAAAUCCAUAUCCUCGAUUUUCACCUGUUUCCGGAUUAGUAACCACUACUGCAUGCUUGAUAGGUCCGACAUCGGAAAAGAAGUUUGUUAAAUCAUCUUGCUUUGUCUGGAAGGCAAGAUU
Molecule: non-coding RNA, 1905 nt
Organism: Schizosaccharomyces pombe (fission yeast)
Lineage: Eukaryota; Fungi; Ascomycota; Schizosaccharomycetes; Schizosaccharomycetales; Schizosaccharomycetaceae
Source: the annotation of a GenBank genome assembly